RNAcentral lists this ribosomal RNA (497 nucleotides) under uncultured bacterium. RNAcentral describes it as "partial 16S ribosomal RNA". It matches the Rfam family "Bacterial small subunit ribosomal RNA", at positions 28 to 507 of the family's 1533-position model. The record is from RNAcentral.
GAUGAACGCUGGCGGCGUGCCUAAUACAUGCAAGUCGAGCGAACAGACGAGGAGCUUGCUCCUCUGACGUUAGCGGCGGACGGGUGAGUAACACGUGGAUAACCUACCUAUAAGACUGGGAUAACUUCGGGAAACCGGAGCUAAUACCGGAUAAUAUAUUGAACCGCAUGGUUCAAUAGUGAAAGACGGUUUUGCUGUCACUUAUAGAUGGAUCCGCGCCGCAUUAGCUAGUUGGUACGGUAACGGCUUACCAAGGCAACGAUGCGUAGCCGACCUGAUGGGGUGAUCGGCCACACUGGAACUGAGACACGGUCCAGACUCCUACGGGAGGCAGCAGUAGGGAAUCUUCCGCAAUGGGCGAAAGCAUGACGGAGCAACGCCGCGUGAGUGAUGAAGGUCUUCGGAUCGUAAAACUCUGUUAUUAGUGAAGAACAAAUGUGUAAGUAACUAUGCACGUCUUGACGGUACCUAAUCAGAAAGCCACGGCUAACUACGUG